RNAcentral lists this long non-coding RNA (1221 nucleotides) under Calidris pugnax (ruff). RNAcentral's name for it is "lncRNA (ENSCPUG00000015976.1)". Lineage: Eukaryota; Metazoa; Chordata; Aves; Charadriiformes; Scolopacidae. The record is from RNAcentral.
AUGGCCACUGCUUGCCCUAUGCAUGCCCACUGUUUGCCCGCUCUUUGCCCACUGCUUGCCUGUAGCGUGCCCCUUCUGUGCCCCCUCUUUGGCUAUUGCACGCCCCCACUGCUUGCCUAUAGUGUACCCCUUAUUUGCCCACUGCUUACCCACUGCUUGGCCACUAAGUGCCCCUUACAUGGCCACUGCUUGCCCGCUGCGUGGCCAUUGCUUGCCUGCUGCAUGGCCACUGCUUGCCCAUUCUUUGCCCACUGCUUGCCUGUCGCGUGCCCCUUCUGUGCCCCCUCUUUGGCUAUUGCAAACCCCCACUGCUUGCCCAUAGUGUACCCCUUAUUUGGCCACUGCUUGCCCGCUGCUUGGCUAUUGCUUGCCUACUGUGUGGCCACUGCUUGCCCUGUGUAUGCCCACUGCUUGCCAGUUCUUUGCCCACUGCUUGGCCAUAGCGUGCCCCUUCUGUGCCCCCUCUUUGGCUAUCGCACGCCCCCACUGCUUGCCCAUCGUGUACCCCUUAUUUGCCCACUGCUUGCCCACUGCUUGGCCACUAAGUGCCCCUUACAUGGCCACUGCUUGCCUACUGCUUGUCUAUUGCUUGCCCGCUGCGUGGCUACUGCUUACCCGCUCUUUGCCCGCUGCUUGGCUGUAGCAUGCCCCUUCUGUGCCCCCUCUUUGGCUAUCGCACGCCUCCACUGCUUGCCCAUCAUGUACCCCUUAUUUGGCCACUGCUUGCCCACUGCUUGGCUAUUGCGCCACAGUGUGCCCCUUCUGUGCCCCCUCUUUGGCUAUUGCACGCCCCCACUGCUUGCCUAUAGUGUACCCCUUAUUUGCCCACUGCUUGCCCACUGCUUGGCCACUAAGUGCCCCUUACAUGGCCACUGCUUGCCCGCUGCGUGGCCAUUGCUUGCCUGCUGCAUGGCCACUGCUUGCCCAUUCUUUGCCCACUGCUUGCCUGUCGCGUGCCCCUUCUGUGCCCCCUCUUUGGCUAUUGCAAACCCCCACUGCUUGCCCAUAGUGUACCCCUUAUUUGGCCACUGCUUGCCCGCUGCUUGGCUAUUGCUUGCCUACUGUGUGGCCACUGCUUGCCCUGUGUAUGCCCACUGCUUGCCAGUUCUUUGCCCACUGCUUGGCCAUAGCGUGCCCCUUCUGUGCCCCCUCUUUGGCUAUCGCACGCCCCCACUGCUUGCCCAUAGUGUACCCCUUAUUUGCCCGCUGCUUGCCCACUAA